RNAcentral lists this ribosomal RNA (433 nucleotides) under uncultured bacterium. RNAcentral's name for it is "partial 16S ribosomal RNA". It matches the Rfam family "Bacterial small subunit ribosomal RNA", at positions 29 to 507 of the family's 1533-position model. The record is from RNAcentral.
AACGAACGCUAGCGGCAUGCCUAACAUAUGCAAGUCGAACGAGACCUUCGGGUCUAGUGGCGCACGGGUGCGUAACGCGUGGGAACCUGCCCUUAGGUUCGGAAUAACUCCCCGAAAGGGGUGCUAAUACCGGAUAAUGUCUUCGGACCAAAGAUUUAUCGCCUUUGGAUGGGCCCGCGUUGGAUUAGCUAGUUGGUAGGGUAAAAGCCUACCAAGGCGACGAUCCAUAGCUGGUCUGAGAGGAUGAUCAGCCACACUGGGACUGAGACACGGCCCAGACUCCUACGGGAAGCAGCAGUGGGGAAUAUUGGACAAUGGGCGAAAGCCUGAUCCAGCAAUGCCGCGUGAGUGAUGAAGGCCUUAGGGUUGUAAAGCUCUUUUACCCGGGAUGAUAAUGACAGUACCGGGAGAAUAAGCUCCGGCUAACUCCGUG